CGGACGCCCGCGCGCGCCCGCGGGUUUAUUGAUUAGAUUAUCGAUUGGGAGGGAGAGACGGGUUGUGGCGUGUGUGGAGGAGCCACAAGAGUUGUUUUUGUUAAUCAGCGAGUUGUUCGUAGGAUAUUGAGGACAAAUGAAUUCGAACCGCUUCGCUUCGCUUUCGCUGCACGUAUCUCGACUCAGUGAAAUGUUGAAUGAUUGAUAUUUGUGAAGAAAAUAAGCGUUAAUCAAGUGAAUGCGCGUUUGAACUUGUCCUAAUAGUGCCGACGUGGUGUCAUUUGGGAAUGACAGCCACAUUCAGUUCGAAUUCUUGCUGUUUGUGAAGAUUUAUUGAGAAAGCUGUUUUGCACGAGGUGACCUUGAGUAACCUUCAAGAUGAAGAAAUUAUCCCGAAGUGUCGCGAAGUGUGGCCGAAAUCGUUAGGGCCGAAACCGAGAAGAUAAAAGCGUCAAGAACCGGAUUUCUAUGGGCGCUAACCAAGAAAAAGAAUGACGCGAGACGUUUGGCAACAUAAAAUGGAAAUAUAGAAGAAGUUAAGAAGAAACUUCAGGAAGCUAUUGAUAAAUUCGAGAAAGCAUGCGAUGUUUAUUGGGAAGUCCUAGACGAACCAGGAGAAAGAAAGGAAGCGCUCAAAUAUUAUCAGAAGACCUACAAGGAGUUCAUCGUUUUCGAAGAGAAAAUACUGAACUGGAUCGCAAGUGCUGAAGAGCGGGAAACAGAAAUUUAACCAUCGGACUCUGUGAGUCGAGUUAGUCGGCGUAGUCGUCGUUCGUCGUCAUCGGUACGAUCUGCGGUCAGCGACCUAUAUAAAAAAUAUUUGAACCGAGGGCUGAAAACUGUCAAUUCUUGGGCUUGACCGCCAUGUAUGACAGGUAGCAGAAUUGGGCAGAGAGUCAGAGGAAGCGGAGGAUGCAGAGAGUCCGAUGAAGAGUUGGGAUUUAAAACAAUGAAAGAAGCAAGAUUGGAGAGAGCCAUCAAGAAGAGAAAGAGAAAAAUUACGUUAUACAGAACUGGAAAGCUCACCACUAGUUCCUCUGUUAGUUGUAGUCGUAGGAAGGAGUUAGUAGCGAGUGCAAAGUCCAUGGCGGUGUUGGUGCAGAAUCUUUUGCCACACAAGUUGGCCUUGAUGAAACAGCAAUUAAGACAUGUAUACCAUGUACACCUAGCCCCGUUACGAUAUAAAAGUGCAAAACAAAUUUGUCAUAUCAUCUACGAAGCUCCCAAGAUGCGGCCACAUUGAAAACAACAGUAAACUUGCAGGAAUUCUAAAUACAGAAUGGAUUACAUUAUUUAUAUGGAAGCAGCCGAGUUAAACAAAAACGACAUUUUAGCUAAAUUUUUAAUCUUUAUCUUUUUAUCUUUAAUUUCGUUUUUCUUUAAAAUAUCAGCUGCAUAAAGUUUGUUAUCACUUGUCGCGUUAUUGACCAUGGAAAUUCAAUUUUCAAAUUUUAUUUUAUUCCAUUCCAAACUAUGCCAUGAGCACCUGGCAUUAGUCCCAAGAUGCAUUGUAUUUUUGGACGUCCGUCAUCUUGUUUUAAACGAACAAGGAGAUGAUGAAAAACAGUUUUUAUUAUAUUUAGAUGUCAGCAAUAGUUGUUUUCGGUCAAAAUCUUAAGAUUGUUGGUGUGAAAGGUUUUGUUUAAUGAUAUCAAGCCUUAAAAAAUCAAAUUUUCAUUAGACAUUUUCAUUACAGACUUUGAGGUCUGUAAGUUCCCGUUAGCUGUUGUUUUAUAGACAAAAUAUAUUUACAAAAUAUGAUGGAAUCGAUAUGUAAAACAAUUUAUUAUACAUUAGC
Molecule: long non-coding RNA, 1798 nt
Organism: Nematostella vectensis (starlet sea anemone)
Lineage: Eukaryota; Metazoa; Cnidaria; Anthozoa; Actiniaria; Edwardsiidae
Exons: 3
Source: RefSeq, a predicted model, not a curated record